UGGUCUUAUAAGUUUUAAAAAUAAUAUAAUUUCCCCCAGCUUUCUCCUGUUCAGACUGAUUCAUUAGUGUGUUUCUAUUUUUCUGGCAUCAGAUAAGUUUCAUUUAAAGACACCUACAAAACAUGGGAAGAAAUCCCCUCUGAGGUGAGGUCUUGGAUCAUAUGUGUCUUUUUCUUUCUGGAAAAGGCUAUUCUGCUCUGCUGGCAGGCCUGCCUUCUUUCCUUGGGCUUUAUUUCUCUGAUACAAGAGCUUGUUUGUUAGAAAUUAUCUAGUUUCUGCAAUGACUAGGAGAGUCUGACCUGCUUUUAACUGCCAAGAAAGCCUUUUUCUUCAUGAGCUAAUGCAAGUCCAUUCCCAUGAGACAGGCAAUAUGUUAUGACAUGCCUGUAUUUUGCAUGCUCUCUAAGAACAUCAAACCCUUAUGUCAGCCUCUUCUAGUGCAACAAAUUUUAUAUCUUCCUAAUUAAUUGAACCUGAAUAAUUAUCUUAGCUUUUCAUUUUGAAUUGAGGGUACUAUUUUGUUUGGCUGUUGGCUGAUGUUUUGUGAUUCUCUUCUUUUCCUGGUGCUUUCCAAUUAAGUAAUUUUCUCAGUCUCCUUUGAAUUUCCUCUUCCAUGGUCUGCACUCCACUUUGAUUAAGGACAUCAUUUCAUUCACAUAGGUUUUUUUAAUCUCCUUUGCCAGAGGGUUACAUCAUGCCCUCCAUUCCCAUUUUUCUUUCCAGAAAUCAUCAUGCUUAGUUCAUUUGUCACCAUAUUCUUCUCAUCAUUCUACCUGACAGCUUGAAAGAUUUCUUCUGGUCAUCUCCACUUCACAGGUUUCAUUUUCAUGCUAAAACAAAUAGCAAGGGUCAGCAGCAACCAAACAGUUAUGCUCCUCUCCAUGCCUCACUCUUAGCUCUUCUCUUAAAUCUUCUACUUGCCUACAUCAGACAGCAUCUCUUCAACUCAGUUCCUGGGGAAGAAUCCAGAACUGUGAGUUAGGUGCAAAGAUGUCUCCUACAAUUCAGGAGAAAGGGUAAAGAUACCAGAAUGGGACUGAAAACGACAAAUUGAGUGAUGCAUCCAGCAGAAGUCAAUGGGAAAUACUGAGAAUGGUGAGUUUUCUGAUUUCUUCCUAAUUAUUUUCAGGUCUGUGACUUCAGAUAGGGACUUAGCAGCAUAACCUUAUAAUGACUUCUGAUAACAAACCCAAAUAAUGGUUUUUACCAUGAACUCUGCAGUGCUUCUUAUUUAUUUUUUUACAGGAAAAGAAUGAUGCAUCACCUAUUUUCUGCAGUAAAGUAUAGUUACUAUGGACAUUCUGAAAAACAGAAGAAAAUUCAGUGAAAUCAGGCUACUACAAGUUCUUUGUAUUGCAUUUUGAAUAGUUUUCUUAAUCCUCUCUUCUGGAUCUAUCCUUAAGAAAGGUCAUUAUUAUAACAUAUUAUAUUAUAACAUAUAUGUUAUAAUAUAAUUAUAACAUUAAAUAUAUAAUUAUAAAACAUAUGUGUUUUAAAUUGUGCUUGUAUUGGUGAGAAGGUUGGAAUUAAAC
This 1532-nucleotide long non-coding RNA is filed under the name Cyanistes caeruleus (blue tit). Its description in RNAcentral is "lncRNA (ENSCCEG00000014820.1)". Lineage: Eukaryota; Metazoa; Chordata; Aves; Passeriformes; Paridae. The record is from RNAcentral.